AAAUGUUCCUCCAGGACAGAUCCACGGAGAGAGGGAAGAUGCUCCAGUGGUACCUCGUGAGUUUGCUGGCGUUACAUUUGUCUGGUGCUGCUUCUCUAACUGUCCACGGACCAAAAGAUGGCAGUGUUUCCCUGCCUUGUAAUUUGAGCGGAGAGAAUGUAUACGUCCGCUUAACAUUUAAAUCCAAAGUUGCUUAUGGUCGACAACAGCAUGAACAAUUCAAGGCCCGGGUGAUUGAGAGUGGUCAUGGUGACCUCAUUAUUAAAGACUUGGAGACCACUGAUGCUGGAAAAUACACUUUAAGUACUUAUGGCCACGGUGAUCCAA
Long non-coding RNA from Rhinichthys klamathensis goyatoka, 327 nucleotides. RefSeq lists it as uncharacterized. NCBI's taxonomy places the organism in Eukaryota, Metazoa, Chordata, Actinopteri, Cypriniformes, Leuciscidae. The record is from RefSeq and is a predicted model, not a curated record. The transcript is spliced from 3 exons.